GGAAUAUUGGGCAAUGGAGGAAACUCUGACCCAGCGACGCCGCGUGAGGGAUGAAGGCCUUCGGGUUGUAAACCUCUUUCAGCAGGGAAGAAGCGAAAGUGACGGUACCUGCAGAAGAAGCACCGGCUAACUAUGUGCCAGCAGCCGCGGUAAUACAUAGGGUGCAAGCGUUGUCCGGAAUUAUUGGGCGUAAAGAGCUCGUAGGUGGUUAGUUACGUCGGAUGUGAAAAUCUAGGGCUCAACCCUAGACCUGCAUCCGAUACGGGCUAGCUUGAGUUUGGUAGGGGAGACUGGAAUUCCUGGUGUAGCGGUGGAAUGCGCAGAUAUCAGGAGGAACACCAAUGGCGAAGGCAGGUCUCUGGGCCAAUACUGACACUGAGGAGCGAAAGUGUGGGGAGCGAACAGGAUUAGAUACCCUGGUAGUCCACACAGUAAACGAUGGGCACUAGUUGUGGGAACCUUCCACGGUUUCUGCGACGCAGCUAACGCAUUAAGUGCCCCGCCUGGGGAGUACGAUCGCAAGAUUAAAACUCAAAGGAAUUGACGG
RNAcentral lists this ribosomal RNA (547 nucleotides) under uncultured bacterium. Its description in RNAcentral is "bacterial SSU rRNA". It matches the Rfam family "Bacterial small subunit ribosomal RNA", at positions 358 to 916 of the family's 1533-position model. The record is from RNAcentral.